GUCCACGCUGUAAACGAUGGGUGCUAGCUGUUCGGGGUUCCCCUGAGUAGCGUAGCUAACGCGUUAAGCACCCCGCCUGGGGAGUACGGUCGCAAGAUUAAAACUCAAAGAAAUUGACGGGACCCGCACAAGCGGUGGAACAUGUGGUUUAAUUCGAGGCAACGCGAAGAACCUUACCAGGGCUCGACAUGCCCUCUUUGGAUUCCCGAAAAGGAAUCCUUCAUUUAGUUGGGAGGAGCACAGGUGCUGCAUGGCUGUCGU
This 261-nucleotide ribosomal RNA is filed under the name uncultured bacterium. RNAcentral describes it as "partial 16S ribosomal RNA". It matches the Rfam family "Bacterial small subunit ribosomal RNA", at positions 793 to 1055 of the family's 1533-position model. The record is from RNAcentral.